AAUUACCGCUAUUGGGGUUCGAUUAAGCCAUGCGAGUUCCUGGCUUCGGUCAGAGCGAACGGCUGAGUAACACGUAGUUAACUCACCCUUAAGUCAAGAAUAGCCUUGGGAAACUGAGGGUAAUGCUUGAUAGAAGAUUAUGCCUGGAAAGGUUUAUCUUCCAAAGCUUCGGCGCUUAAGGACAGGACUGCGGUGGAUUAGGCUGAUGUCAGGAUAAUGACCUGACAUACCUAUAAUCCAUAGGGGCUGUGAGAGCAGUAGCCCCCAGAUGGAUUCUGAGACACGAAUCCAGGCCCUAAGGGGCGCAGCAGGCGCGAAAACUCCGCAAAAACCCUUUUGCUUCGCAAAAUCGUUUACGGAAAGAAGUAAUGGGUUGCGGAAUGCACGAAAGUGUGACGGGGGAACCCCAAGUGUUGGCGUACUACGUCAGCUUUUCUAGAGUUUAAAUUGCUCUAGGAAUAAGUGAUGGGUAAGACCGUUGCCAGCCGCCGCGGUAAUAACGGCAUCACAAGUGGUAAUCACGUGUAUUGGGUCUAAAGCAUCCGUAGCCGGUCUAACAAGUCUUCUGUGAAAUCUCAUAGAAAACUAUGAGGCGUGCAGGGGAAACUGUUAGACUUGGGACUGGGAGGGGUUAGAGGUACUUCUGGGGUAGAGGUGGAAUUCUGUAAUCCUAGAGGGACCACCUGUGGCGUAAGCUUUUUAGAAAAAAGCUUAAGCAAAAAUCUAAAAAGUUUUCACAUAAGGCGUCUAACUAGAACGGGUCCGACGGUUAGGGAUGAAAGCUAGGGGAGCGAAGGGGAUUAGAUUAACCUUUUUCUUUGGAAAAGAAAAACGUUAACGAAAAAGAAACUAAGGAUAAGGUUAUAAAGACCCCCGUAGUCCUAGCUGUAAACGAUGCCCGCUAGGUAUUGGGAGUUUUUCGUGAACUUCCAGUGCCGUAGGGAAGCCAUUAAGCGGGCCACCUGGGAAGUACGGUCGCAAGGCUGAAACUUAGAGGAAUUGGCGGGGGAGCACACAAGGGGUGCGGUCUGCGGUUU
This 1037-nucleotide ribosomal RNA is filed under the name uncultured archaeon. Its description in RNAcentral is "partial 16S rRNA". It matches the Rfam family "Archaeal small subunit ribosomal RNA", at positions 21 to 903 of the family's 1478-position model. The record is from RNAcentral.